This is a long non-coding RNA of Oreochromis niloticus (Nile tilapia), 1162 nucleotides long. RefSeq lists it as uncharacterized. The record is from RefSeq and is a predicted model, not a curated record. The transcript has 4 exons. Lineage: Eukaryota; Metazoa; Chordata; Actinopteri; Cichliformes; Cichlidae.
CAUCCCAUUAGCUUUAGUAAUAGCUUUAGCCCGGUCGGACUGGGCAGCAAAGGGCAGCUUAAAUGCCGCAAACUCCUCUGCUCCGCCACUUGGACCGCUAGCGCUGACCAUAACUACCGCUUGACAGACUGACCACGCGCACCAUACGCAUACUUUUUUUUCUUUUUCGAAUCUUCGGAUCACGUGCGUACCGAACCGUGGAGUGGGAUCGGUUCAGAUCUCGGAUCAACCGUGAUCACCUAUAGUUAGUGGAUACAGAUUAUGAUGAAGAUGAAGCUACAUCACCAUGUCUCCAUGUGAGGAGGGGCAGCUUUGGGUUAUGGAGCUAUAUGAACCUGACGACUCUCUUACAGUCUGACCUUUGACCUCAGACAGUAGCUCUCCUUGGCUGUUUCACCAUCUCAGGUCCCUGCUGUGACUACAGUAUCAACCCUGGUCCCACUGUGGAUCUUUCUUGAAGCCCCUGGAUGACUCCCACAGUGGAGGAGGGGCCCUUUGUCACAGUGGAUGACCCAGCACUGGCUCCUGCACCUGGACUCUGGACCCUGCUCCAGGUCAUCCACACCCACACAAACUCCACAGGAGUCUGCUGCUGGACGCUGUCAGGCCCAUGAAGCUCUGCUGUAAAGGCUUCCAUGUCCCAGGCUUCACCUUUACCUGCUGACCAAUGGGAGGCGUGGCCAAAACACAGAUGGCGAGUGGAGCAGCAGGUAGGAGAGGGCUCUGAGACCUGGACAUCACCUGGAGGAUGACCACCUUGUGCCUGAACUGGCUCACAUCCAUCCCAGUGAGAGCCCAGACUGGGAGGAAACCAUCAGUGCCAUGGUGAGAAACACCUGACUUUGAUGGAUUGUUGUGAGCAUCAUUAUCCAUGUUUUCUUUUUACACCUGCCCACUCAUGAUCACAGUAAGCUGCUGAAGUGUCACCCUGUGGCUGAGUGACUUUUCAGGGAGGAUGGAGCACUGGGAUAACAUUCACUUGCCACUGUUAUGUUUCUAAAGGUAGACUGCAUGGCUACAGUGUUGCAGUGGGACUGAAAACACCUGAGUGUAAAGAUGUUGUCCCUAUAGUGUACUGAAGCUUGUUUAUAAUGACAUAUGCCGUUGAUGUCCUUACCAUUGGAAAUAAACCUGUACAUUAAGGCUUUGCAGUCAUUGACAG